Molecule: long non-coding RNA, 459 nt
Filed under: Lathyrus oleraceus (garden pea)
Lineage: Eukaryota; Viridiplantae; Streptophyta; Magnoliopsida; Fabales; Fabaceae
Description: Pisum sativum (pea) long non-coding RNA (PSAT_LNC014756)
Source: RNAcentral
AUGGAAACUAAACAGUCACCAUAAAAACUUUCAACUUUUCAACUUCACAAUACCAAUUCCAAGCAACAAAUAGCAGAACGAAUGCUAAAACUUCAAGAAGCAACUGGAAAAAGAAAGCCAGCAUAUCAUCGACACGAACUUAAUUCGAAUCGUUAUCAACAUUGCGGUGAUUAUCAUAAAACAAAGAACAUCAACGAUACAGAGUAACAAUAUUCAGAAAUUUUUUACCAUUCUCACCGAAAUUUUUAACACAGAAUAUGUUGAUAACAUCUACAACUAGAACAAAUCGGAAGAUAGAAAAAGCACAAACACGCACAUGACCCAAAUAUAUCAAAUACUGUCAUGAAAUAAUCAAAAUUCUAAAUAAGCUUAAAUCGAUAUGUUACCGUACAGAUGAAUAGUUGCCAAGAGUUUAUUUCAGAAGAUUAUCAUCAUGGGGUUCUUCAAAUCCACUUAUCC